Passer domesticus (house sparrow) is the source of this 2682-nucleotide long non-coding RNA. RefSeq lists it as uncharacterized. NCBI's taxonomy places the organism in Eukaryota, Metazoa, Chordata, Aves, Passeriformes, Passeridae. The transcript has 2 exons. The record is from RefSeq and is a predicted model, not a curated record.
UCGCCGGCCUCUGACACCGCGAAUGAGCCCCGGCUCCUUCUCCUCCAGGUGCUGCUGCCCCCUCCCCGCGCACCAUGGACUUUCCAAAGUCUCCCCAAGUGCAAGAAUAGAUGGGGCAGCGCUGAGGAGCUUCCGAAAGCUGCUCCUGCCCUCAGAGGACAUCAGGGCUCAGAUGUUCAGGUCUCGUCACUCAUCUCCAAACCACAGCAACCUCUGUGUGGGUUUUGUUCCAGGCCUGUGGGCAAUUGCAGGAAUCAACUUUUGGAAGAGCUGGGGAGAGGUUAUUGGAUGUACGCCCAGCAGCUUUUGGAAAAACAGAGCAGAAAAUAUGCAGAACUCAUGGAAGAAAGACAAGCAGAUGCUGCUUGAAAAUAUGGUUUUAUUCUUAUGUCAACAAAUUAGUGCACGGGCAGCCAAAAAGCCCACACAGAGGUAACACAACAAAUGCGGCCUUAAGAUAUUUCAGGGAAACACAGACUCUCCCUGUAGGAUCUGCACGAAGACCUGACUCAAGAACAAUUCCCACAGUUUGGGAUCAAGGCAGUGGGAAGGCAGGCAUGAAGCAAACCCAGGCCUGAGACUUCUGCAGCUGAGCUCUACAAAUCUUUUCUUGAAGAAAUCUUUUCACUCAGAAAUGAUUCCAAACCACCUUCCAUGGGGAUGAAAAAAAUACAGAUGGGAUUAAGGGAACAUGGAUUCUGCAACUUUGGCUUGAACAGCGUCCAUUUUAUUUCCUUAAACACUCACCCAACGCUGCAGCCAAAGGCGAGUUCCACCAGUUCUUCCUAAACAUUCUCUGGGAGAAGAACAGAGCCCCAGCUGGUAUCCAAUGGAGUGGGCAUUCAACAGCUUUAGGACUAUUUCCACCAAGCCCAGGGUCUAACUUCAUGUUCAUUUUAACACCUCUUUCUUUGUUUUUUUUCUACCUGCAAGCCCUGUGUCUUUUCUGAACACCUCCACCCAAAUUUUACAUCUCUUGGCUCUAAACUUGCAGAAACAUUAUGUGUGUUUUUGUGUACACUUUUCCUGUAGGACUUUAGCAUAAAUUCUAAGGAUUCUUACUAAAUUCUGUGGAACCCUCUUGUCCUACCCUUCCCCCACUUUUUUUCCCUUUUUUUCUUUCCCUUAACUCUUACCACAUGUUAUAGAUGCCAGACAUGAGUCAGACCAAGCUCCUGGAGCUGUGGGGCGGGGCAGAGGGGAAUGUUCCUUUAUCAGCUAAGAGAAGUCAGUUCCCAAACCCCAGUACAGAUACCCCCCUCAAAAAGUCCCACCUGAAGGCUCUGAAGACUGAGGACCAUUAAGGAAUUCAUUAAAUCCACAUGAAAAUGGUGGAGUUCUUUUUUUAUUGACCAUAAACUUUCUAGUGGGUGCCCAAGUCCUUAGGGUCAGUACCCGGGGUCUCCUGGGUUCAGUGGAGCCUGAGGCGAAGAUAAACCUUAGAUAACAAUUUCAUACUGAAACAAGGUGAAAUCCACAGCUCCCAGCUCUGGACUGGCUUAUCCACUCCUAUUUACUCUUUAUCUACUCUCUCAUCUAUUUCCAGAAUCCACUCCUAAAAGGACUUCCAGAAGAUUCCAGAAAUUUUCACCAGUUCUAUUUGAUUUUGUUGUUGGGUUAUCACUCUUUAAUUUCAACAAAUUUCUAUUCCAUUCCCAUCAAACCCACAGAGACAAACUGGCAGCUUAAAAGUCCACGGAGAAGUGAUGAUUUUGGGGCAUAUUAAAGGACCACGGAAAAGUGCAAGUGGUCAUUUUGGGGCACAUUAGAGGCCCAUGGGUAAGUGCAAGUGGUGAUUUUUGGAUUAUAAAGUGCCAUUCGGGGUAUGGCAUGAAAAUCACCAGGAAACUGAAUCAUCCAGCUGGAUUUCCUGUAGAGCCAGCUCAGACAUCUCUCCACAUCACAUUUCCAAGCUUUUCUUGAUCCAUGAGUAUUUACUAACUUGGUUGUGCUCCACACAGAAGACACAGAACAGGCUCAGGCCCAAAGGCUGGACCCUUCCAAGCCCUUCCAAACCCAGCAGAGCUGGAAAAUAAUGAUGCAGGAGCACAGGUGGUUCUGCCUGGAAUGAAUUUAAUGCUCCCAGCCCUGGACAGCCCUUGGCCCAGCAGCAUUUGUGAGCUCUGUGCCAACACAACCAGCAGCCCAGGGAAUCCCACCUGGAUACAAGAAUGACCCACAGACAGGGAUAUUAAAGGACAAACUGCCAAUUCCUUGAUUAAAGAGCAAGCUUUCAGCAACCAGCAGCAGCAGCUCUAUUACUGCUGAGUUUCUCCCUAAGGCUACAGCAUGGAACCACACAGGAGAUUUUUGCUGCUUCUGGGAUAUUGGUGUUAAAAAAAAAAAAAAAGAAAUACAUUGAUGAACUACUUUGUCAUUGUUAACAACACUGCUGACAAACUCACAGCAGGCCCACUGCGAGGAAGACAGCAGCAUGUCUACUGAAUGCCUCUUGUAGCUGAGACAUGUGCUCUGAAUUAGGCAAGGUGUGUAAAUUACGACAGCCAGAGCUCUUUGGAGAACGCCCAGGUCUGAGAGAUUCUGGUGCACUUUUGUUGUUGCUGCUGCAUUUCCCCGUGGUUCUCCUCUCAAAAGAAACCUUGCUCCUUGGAGAGAGCUUUAACAGGCUUCAAUUCCUCAAGUGUCAUUUGAAAGAAAUAAAAUCAAAAUGCUAAAAAGAAA